RNAcentral lists this ribosomal RNA (430 nucleotides) under uncultured bacterium. RNAcentral's name for it is "bacterial SSU rRNA". It matches the Rfam family "Bacterial small subunit ribosomal RNA", at positions 355 to 776 of the family's 1533-position model. The record is from RNAcentral.
UGGGGAAUAUUGGACAAUGGGGGGAACCCUGAUCCAGCCAUGCCGCGUGUGUGAAGAAGGCCUUAUGGUUGUAAAGCACUUUAAGCGAGGAGGAGGCUCUUUUGGUUAAUACCCAAGAUGAGUGGACGUUACUCGCAGAAUAAGCACCGGCUAACUCUGUGCCAGCAGCCGCGGUAAUACAGAGGGUGCAAGCGUUAAUCGGAUUUACUGGGCGUAAAGCGCGCGUAGGCGGCCAAUUAAGUCAAAUGUGAAAUCCCCGAGCUUAACUUGGGAAUUGCAUUCGAUACUGGUUGGCUAGAGUGUGGGAGAGGAUGGUAGAAUUCCAGGUGUAGCGGUGAAAUGCGUAGAGAUCUGGAGGAAUACCGAUGGCGAAGGCAGCCAUCUGGCCUAACACUGACGCUGAGGUGCGAAAGCAUGGGGAGCAAACAGG